This 495-nucleotide ribosomal RNA is filed under the name uncultured bacterium. RNAcentral describes it as "partial 16S ribosomal RNA". It matches the Rfam family "Bacterial small subunit ribosomal RNA", at positions 28 to 507 of the family's 1533-position model. The record is from RNAcentral.
GACGAACGCUGGCGGCGUGCCUAAUACAUGCAAGUAGAACGCUGAAGGAGGAGCUUGCUUCUCUGGAUGAGUUGCGAACGGGUGAGUAACGCGUAGGUAACCUGCCUGGUAGCGGGGGAUAACUAUUGGAAACGAUAGCUAAUACCGCAUAAGAGUAGAUGUUGCAUGACAUUUGCUUAAAAGGUGCAAUUGCAUCACUACCAGAUGGACCUGCGUUGUAUUAGCUAGUUGGUGGGGUAACGGCUCACCAAGGCGACGAUACAUAGCCGACCUGAGAGGGUGAUCGGCCACACUGGGACUGAGACACGGCCCAGACUCCUACGGGAGGCAGCAGUAGGGAAUCUUCGGCAAUGGACGGAAGGCUGACCGAGCAACGCCGCGUGAGGGAAGAAGGGUGUCGGAUCGUAAAGCUCUGUUGUAAGAGAAGAACGAGUGUGAGAGUGGAAAGUUCACACUGUGACGGUAUCUUACCAGAAAGGGACGGCUAACUACGUG